RNAcentral lists this transfer RNA (72 nucleotides) under Tyto alba (common barn owl). It matches the Rfam family "tRNA". From Rfam's summary of the family: Transfer RNA (tRNA) molecules are approximately 80 nucleotides in length. Their secondary structure includes four short double-helical elements and three loops (D, anti-codon, and T loops). The record is from Rfam by way of RNAcentral. Lineage: Eukaryota; Metazoa; Chordata; Aves; Strigiformes; Tytonidae.
GGGUGUGUAGCUCAGGGGCAGAGCAUUUGACUGCAGAUCAAGAGGUCCCCGGCUCAAAUCCACGUACCCCCU